Molecule: ribosomal RNA, 6306 nt
Filed under: Triticum aestivum (bread wheat)
Lineage: Eukaryota; Viridiplantae; Streptophyta; Magnoliopsida; Poales; Poaceae
Description: partial small subunit ribosomal RNA
Source: RNAcentral
AUGGAACACACUACUCCCUCCUGCUCUGCUCCCGACCACGGCGGCGACGGCGACGGCGGCGGCGAGGUGACACCGAACGGCAUCAAGGUGCUAUUCUCCCCGGCCGACAUGCUCGCCCCGUCAGUCCGCUGGAAAUGGAACUGGAAGCAAGCGCCACCCACAAGACGGCGGCGACGGCGACGGCGAGGAGACGCUCGUCUUGCAGUCCAGCUGCUCAGCUACCUGACCGGCAUGGUCGCCCCCGGCGCCCUCUCCUCCGUCCGCUGGAACUGGAACUGGAACUGGAACUGGAAGCAAGCGCCACUCACCUCAACAGGUCGUACAUCCUUGCAUCUGAUGGGAAUGUACGUGGCGCUCCGUGCGGCGCAAUGGGUGGUGGGCAAGGCACUAGCCCCCGUUGCCAAUGGCAUGCUAGGGGCUUGGGCAGCCACCAAGAACUUUGGUCCCAACGUCGAUGCCCUCAGCACGGAGUUGCUGCUUGUGAAGGCCACGCUUGAGCAAGCUGCCUACAAGGAGCUUGGAGGCCCGGCAAUGGAGAUGCUGCUGCAGAAGCUGCGGGACUCGGCGCAGAAUGCUGAAGACUUGUUGGAUGAGCUGGACUACUUUCGCAUCCACGAUGAGCUCCAUGGCACGCACGAUGCUGCCGACCAGCACGGCGAAGGUGGCGUGCACAACCUCGCCCUCAAUGCUCGGCACACCGCCAAAGCUGUUGGCAAACUGGUCAACUGUUGCCCUUGGCAGCGUUCUAAGCGCCGACAGAGCUCACACGACGAUUCCUCCUCAGCGCAAGAUGCCAAUCAGGUGGUCAGGGGAUGCAUGCCCAAGCUCGGUAAACUCCUACCUUGCACAUUUUCCCCACAUUCACAUGUUCAUGGUGAUGAUGACGAUCAUGGCAAUGGGCAAGAAACACCAAAACUUGAGUUUAAUAGGGUUGAUUUCUCUCAAAGGAUGAAGGAUACUGUAGGGAAACUGCAGCUUAUGCGUAAUGAGAUUAACAAGAUUUUGCAGGGUUGUAGCCUUAGAACUGUCUCAAAUAUAGCCCAGAGCCGUCCCAUCACCAAAGGUCGAAUUGAUGAGCCAAAAUUGUACGGGAGGGACCGUGUCAUGAAUAGCACCAUACAUGAUAUCACCAAUGGUCAGUACUGUGGCAAGGGGCUAACUGUGCUUCCGGUUGUUGGUCCAGGGGGAGUGGGGAAGACAACUUUGAUACAACACAUAUAUGACAACCAACAAGUGCAGGAUCAUUUUCCAGUCAUGAUUUGGAUAUUUGUGUCCCUCGAUUUCAAUCUGGAUAAGGUUGCAUCACAUGAUUGUCUUAGUUUACAUCUCCCUAAUGAUGGAUCAGUAGAAGUUCAGCCAUCAAUCCGUCACUUGUCUAUAAGCACAGAGGACUUAGUGAAAUAUGAUGCAGUGUCCAGUGAAAAGUUAAGGAGUGAAUUGGAAGAAAUAAAGACGAGAUUGAAGGUUGAACAUUUGCAUACACUGAUGUUAUUUGGAAAAAUGGAUGAAAGUUUUUCUGAGGUAUUUGGUGAUUUCUUUGGGGAAGCAAACGCUCUUCGUGUUCUUUAUUUGCCCAACAUGAUGUAUCCUGUGCAGUCCAUGUUACAUAACUUUUCAGGACUUGUCCACCUACGAUGCCUAUGUCUAGGGACAAGGGUGAGACAGAUGCAUUUACCAAUUAGCAUCUCCAAAUUCUACCAUUUAAGGAUUCUAGACCUUGUGUCAUGGGAAGGGAGUCGUGAUUUGCCUGAAGACAUGAGCAACCUUGCAAAGUUGUGCCAUAUUCAUAUUCGUUUUCAUCAGCGUCAUUCUGAUAUUUGUAAUGUGGGGAAAUUUAAACUCUUGGAAGAGUUAAAUGUAUUUCGAGUCCAUGAAGAAAGUAAAGGAUUUGAACCAAGUCAACUAGAGCAUUUGACCAAGCUAAGGGAGCUUGGCAUCUACAACCUUGAGAAAAUACAUACAAUAGAAGAAGCAGCUGAAGCAAAACUGAUAGAGAAAAACUACUUGAAGAGGUUAGCAUUGGUUUGGGAUAGUGGGCGCUCUAGUGUUGAGCCUGUUAUGGAAGCAUUGGUUCUUGAGAGCCUUCAACCCCAUGAAGAUAUCCAAGUGUUGUGCAUUAGAGGGCACAGAGGCCCUUCUUGUCCAACAUGGCUGGGUGAUGAGUUUGCUGCUGAAGGUCUACAAUCUCUUUAUCUUUAUGGUGUUUCUUGGGAAAUUUUCCCUUCUUUAGGGAAGGCGUGGGAUCUUCGUCAACUAAGGUUGGUGGAUAUUGCCAGACCGAAGGACUGUCCAGAAUUCUCGUCAGUGAUUCCCAUCUCCUGGGUUGAAAGGAUUGAAAGUCUGCGUCUUGUCACGAUUAGAAGCGUCAAGCUACUAAAGUGGUUUCAAUACUCAAAAUCAGCCGAUGGAGUAAAAUUGGCAAUUUUUGGAAAAGAAGAAUCAGAUGGUCUGGUUGGACCACUAGGUGGCCAGGGUGAUGUGGAAUGGCAGCUCCCUGUUGAGCAUAUCCAGAUCGAGCGCUUAAACGAAGCAUCAAAGAUGGGAGGAGGUGAAAUAACAGCAGCGACAGAGGAAGAGGAUGAGGAAGAUGAAUUGACGACAUCAGAAGCGGAAGAGGAAGAGGAAGAUGAAUUGACGGCAUCGGGAGAGGAAGAGGAUGAGGAAGAUGAAUUGAAGUCAUCAGAAGAGGAAGAGGAUGAGGAAGAUGAAUUGACGGCAUCAGAAGAGAAAGAGGAUGAGGAAGAUUAUUUGACGGCAUCAGAAGAGAAAGGGGAUGAGGAAGAUUAUUUGACGGCAUCAGAAGAGAAAGAGGAUGAGGAAGAUGAAUUGACCUCAUCAGAAGAGGAAGAGGGUGAGGAAGAUGAAUUGACGGCAUCAGAAAAUGAAGAAAUGGAGGAAUGUGGAAUAACAGCAGCAGAAGAGGAACAUGAUGAGGAAGAUGAAAUAACAACAUCAGCAGCAUCAAAGUUGGAGGAAGAUGAAAUAACAACAGCAGCAGAGGAAGAGGAUGAUGGGGUGCUGCUCUUCCCAGCUCAUCUCUUUGACUCACUACAGGAGUUGGUCAUCUAUGGUUGCCCAGAGAUGGUCCUGAUGAACCCACCAACUCUUGUUCCUGUAGGAGGAUGGUUCCAAGCCUUGAGAUCUCUCCAGAGAUUAAGUAUACAGCUCUCCCCAAAGUUUCUGUCUGCCUUCCCGUUUUCCCGUCACCUUUUCCCUUCCUCCCUGCAGUUUGUGGCGCUUUGGGGUGUGGAAGACAUGGGGACACUGGAGCCCCUCUCAAACCUCUCCUUUCUUACCAGAUUGGAAUUGAUUGGUUGCGGAAAAGAUCUGAAAUGUCAGGGCUUGCGCUCUCUCCUUACCACCAGGGGCCAGCUCGACGAAUUAAGAGUCUUUGGCAGCACUAUGUUCUUUGCUGGUUGGGAUCCCAAUCCUAGGCAGUCUUUGGGGGGUGUCGAGGGAGAAGAGCAGCAGACACAACUUGUUUCAUCCACAGUGCAGAAGCUCAGCACUGAUGACGCAGCGGGACUCCUUGCUGCACCCAUCUGCAGCUUCCUCUCUUCCUCCCUCACCAAGCUGGAACUUCAUGGGGAUGGGUCUGAAGGGAUGAAGUGCUUCAGCAAGGAGCAGGAGGACGCCCUUCAGCUCCUCUCCUCCCUCCAGCUACUUAAGUUUCAUGGUUUCAACGACCUUCAACAACUCCCUGCAGGGCUGCGCAACAUUACCAGCCUCAAGAUAUUAUCAAUCGAAUUCUGUCGAACCAUCUCAUCGUUGCCCAAGGAUGGCCUCCCUGAUUCACUCCAAGAGCUACAUGUAUAUCCUUGGAAGCAAGAGAUUGAGUUGGGGAAAGGUCAUAAUGACAAACAAGUAAGAUGCAGCCAACAAACUCUUAUUACUAAAAACCGGCACCGCAAAGCCAAUGUGUGUUGUGAACGUGUACCAUUGCUCACUGUCGGGGAAAACAACAUAGCGGCGAGCGCAGGUGCCGUGCGUGAUGAUGUCGGUGUGGUGUAUGCCUUUGCCAAGGGACGGAAGCUCCGUCAGUCGAUCAUGGACGGAAACUGCUCUGAUUAUGCAGUUGGGCUCUUCUCUAAGCAUGUGCGUCUGCAGUUGCUGCGAGUCGAUGUUCUUCUGGUACUGCACACCGUCUUGAUGGUAGUAAUGGUUGGAAUAGGCGCCUAUGGCCAUCGAUAUCGCCACCAUCCAUUGACUCGCUACCUCUUCCUGGGUGUCACCAUGUCGUUUCUGCCCAUUGUCUCCUACAUUGUCUCCACCAUUAGUAAUCAGGAUGUCAUCGCCGUUCGGUUCAUGUGGAAAUUAGAAGAGGAAACUAUUUCAAUGGUUUGCAAGACAGACUUUCGGAGCAUCCUAGUAUGGUCUGGUCUUGUUCAGAUUGUUGGUAUCAAUACUGCUGUAAUAGUAGCUGCAGAUGCUAGAGAAGCUCGAGACAUUGCACCCCCUGUGGUAUUUCUUGUUGAAGCAAUAUGGACUUCUUACCUUAUGGCCCAACAAUGGGGUGAUCUGGAUUUUGAUGCUCGGUUGUAUUUGUUGGCACCAUCAGCUCUUAUCUUUGCCAAAUUACUUUUGAAGUAUUAUUCAUGGUACAAGGCCAGAAAAUCAUUAUCUCUUGCACGCAAUCCUCAUCUUGUCGUUGGAUACAUGAGGCAGAUACAAGAUAGAAUCCAGCAUGCCGAGCCAGCAAGUGAGCACAUACCUCCCGCACUUAUAGUUACGGGAGAGGACACUGAAUCAGUAGAGAAACAGCCUCAUGGUUAUAGCUUCAAAGGGAUAUCCAAUGGAAGAGAUGGGACAAGAAUAAACAAGAAUGGCUUAGUGACUUUGGAGAAAGCUUGGCAGAUAUGUGACAUGCUUCCCAGCUCAAUAGCACAUCAUCUCCAAGAUGUAUGCUUUUCGUUCUCAUUGUUCAAGCUUCUACGAUGUCGAUUUGCAAGGUACACAAUUGCUGAUGCUGCCUUCAUGAAGGCUCAUAACUUUUUACGGCAUAUAUUGCUCGAGAAGAGAGAUGAUGAGAGGGUACUUGGGGUGAUUGCAUAUGAGCUUACUUUUCUUCAUGAUUAUUAUUAUUCUGCCCUCGCAGUCUCGUAUUCCAAGAGUUGGCCACCCGUAUUGAGUAUAUUUAUUUCACUAUUAAGCACCUGUUACUGCUUAUUUUGGAUAGUUCGUUUCAUAGUGGGAGAGCUUGUGGAUGAUUUCAUGCAAGGAUUUUCUGUUAUACCACAGUUAGUAUGUGUCAAUAAGUGCAACACAGAAGGCAAUCAAAAGACAAAGUUUGGAAGUGAACUCUUUGAACUGCUGCCAGUGUGCUCGCUUCUUGCUCUAGUUUUGCUUACUGAGGUGAGGGAGAUUGCUUCUUACAUCUGCUCUAACUGGACAAAAGUAUCCCUUAUUCGCCUCUAUAUAAACCAUGCUUCAUGGCAACAAUCUCCUGCCAUGAAGAAAUGGGUUGGCCAUCUAUUGAAGUGCAAAUGCGAGAUGUUGAAGCAUUGGGAGGACAAAAUGAACCUGUGCUCAAUCAUAGUGCUACAUCCAAGGAAAAUUCCACUGGCUCCACUUCGCGGUCUCAUUCCUGUUCCCGACAAAAAGAAGAAGAUACCAAGAGAGGUGAAGGUUGCUAUUGUCCAAUCAUUGAGAAAGCAUGUGCAAGCCGGAAACAAUGGCAUCAUAACAUCUUUGUGCAAGAGCCCGCAGCUACAAGUCGGCGACAACCUGCUUUGGACGUUCAAUGGAGCCAAUGGUACAGCAGACAUCAUGCUUGUGUGUCACAUCGCCACCAGCAUCCUUGAAGUAAGAUCAGACCCACAGCUUCCUCCCUCUGACCACAAGAUUGUUGCUACUCACCUGUCACGGUAUUGCGCCUACCUGGUGGCCCACUGUCCUGAGCUACUCCCCGACUUCGAGCGCUGGUGUAAGAGCAUGUACAAAGCCGUCAAGAAGGAAGCAGAGCUCAUCCUCGUCGGUGUUAUCAGGCCUGAAGCAACGCCCCAAGUGAAGUACCAGAAGCUAUUCGAGCAGCUGAGCACAAGAUCAGAGCAUGAAGUACUCAAGAAUGGCGCGGAGCUCGGGAGGCUGCUGGUGGAGCUGCCCGAAGGAGAGGAGAAGGCAUGGGAGCUCCUCGCCGGCUUGUGGGCGGAGAUGCUCAUGUACGUCGCUCCAUCGGACAACCUUAAUGGGCACGCGGAGGCCAUCGCCCGUGGCGGCGAGCUGAUAACGCUCCUCUGGGCGUUGCUCGGCCACCUCGGGUGUGUCAGCAGGCCCGACGACGACGCAGCCGCUGCCACUGCAUGCUAG